RNAcentral lists this ribosomal RNA (254 nucleotides) under uncultured bacterium. Its description in RNAcentral is "partial 16S ribosomal RNA". It matches the Rfam family "Bacterial small subunit ribosomal RNA", at positions 524 to 776 of the family's 1533-position model. The record is from RNAcentral.
GACAGAGGGUGCAAACGUUGCUCGGAAUUACUGGGCGUAAAGGGCGUGUAGGCGGGAAGGCAAGUCGGGCGUGAAAGCCCCAGGCUCAACUGGGCGAGGUCCGUGGAACUGGUCAGCUGGAGGACGGUAGAGGCGAGUGGAAUUCCCGGUGUAGUGGUGAAAUGCGUAGAGAUCUGGAGGAACACCGGUGGCGAAGGCGGCAUCCUGGACCGGUAUUGACGCUGAGGCGGCGAAAGCGUGGGGAGCCAAACAGG